Molecule: ribosomal RNA, 505 nt
Filed under: uncultured bacterium
Lineage: Bacteria
Description: partial 16S ribosomal RNA
Rfam family: Bacterial small subunit ribosomal RNA
Source: RNAcentral
GACGAACGCUGGCGGCGUGCCUAAUACAUGCAAGUAGAACGCACAGUUUAUACCGUAGCUUGCUACACCAUAAACUGUGAGUUGCGAACGGGUGAGUAACGCGUAGGUAACCUGCCUGGUAGCGGGGGAUAACUAUUGGAAACGAUAGCUAAUACCGCAUAAUAUUGAUUAUUGCAUGAUAAUUGAUUGAAAGAUGCUAUUGCAUCACUACCAGAUGGACCUGCGUUGUAUUAGCUAGUAGGUGAGGUAACGGCUCACCUAGGCGACGAUACAUAGCCGACCUGAGAGGGUGAUCGGCCACACUGGGACUGAGACACGGCCCAGACUCCUACGGGAGGCAGCAGUAGGGAAUCUUCGGCAAUGGACGAAAGUCUGACCGAGCAACGCGGCGUGAGUGAAGAAGGUUUUCGGAUCGUAAAGCUCUGUUGUAAGAGAAGAACGGGUGUGAGAGUGGAAAGUUCACACUGCGACGGUAUCUUACCAGAAAGGGACGGCUAACUACGUG